AACUUUUAACAACGGAUCUCUUGGUUCUCGCAUCGAUGAAGAACGUAGCAAAGUGCGAUAACUAGUGUGAAUUGCAUAUUCAGUGAAUCAUCGAGUCUUUGAACGCAUCUUGCACCUGUUGGUAUUCCAACAGGUACGCCUGUUUCAGUA
Molecule: ribosomal RNA, 150 nt
Filed under: Hyphomucor assamensis
Lineage: Eukaryota; Fungi; Mucoromycota; Mucoromycetes; Mucorales; Mucoraceae
Also listed under: 1 other name
Description: 5.8S ribosomal RNA
Rfam family: 5.8S ribosomal RNA
About the family: 5.8S ribosomal RNA (5.8S rRNA) is a component of the large subunit of the eukaryotic ribosome. It is transcribed by RNA polymerase I as part of the 45S precursor that also contains 18S and 28S rRNA. Functionally, it is thought that 5.8S rRNA may be involved in ribosome translocation.
Source: RNAcentral